This is an unclassified non-coding RNA of Pongo abelii (Sumatran orangutan), 343 nucleotides long. It matches the Rfam family "Metazoan signal recognition particle RNA". Rfam says of the family: The signal recognition particle (SRP) is a universally conserved ribonucleoprotein. It is involved in the co-translational targeting of proteins to membranes. NCBI's taxonomy places the organism in Eukaryota, Metazoa, Chordata, Mammalia, Primates, Hominidae. The record is from Ensembl.
GCUGGGCAUGGUAGUGCCUGCCUAUAGUCCCAGCUACUUGGGAGGCUGAGGUGGGAGGAUCACUUGAGUCCAGGAGUUCUGGGCUGUAGUGCACUGUGCCAAUCAGGUGUCCACACUAAGUUCAGCAUCAAUAUGGUGACCUCCAAGGAAUAGGGGACCACCAGGUUGCCUAAGGAGGGGUAACAGGCCCAGGUCAGAAAUGGAGCAGGUCAAAACUCCUUUGCUGGCCAGGCGCGGUUGUUCACACCUGUAAUCCUAGCACUUUGGGAGGCCGAGGUGGGCGGAUCACCAGAGGUCGGAAGUUUGAGACCAGCCUGACCAACAUGGAGAAAUCCCAUCUCUA